UACGGAGGGUGCUAGCGUUGUUCGGAAUCACUGGGCGUAAAGCGCGUGUAGGCGGUCCGGUAAGUCCGCUGUGAAAGUCGAGGGCUCAACCCUCGAAUGCCGGUGGAUACUGUCGGGCUAGAGUGCGGAAGAGGCGAGUGGAAUUCCUGGUGUAGCGGUGAAAUGCGCAGAUAUCAGGAGGAACACCUAUUGCGAAGGCAGCUCGCUGGGACGUUACUGACGCUGAGACGCGAAAGCGUGGGGAGCAAACAGG
Molecule: ribosomal RNA, 253 nt
Filed under: uncultured bacterium
Lineage: Bacteria
Description: partial 16S ribosomal RNA
Rfam family: Bacterial small subunit ribosomal RNA
Source: RNAcentral